AGUCAAAGCACGAAAAUGGUAAGGGAGAUGCUAGUAACAAGCACCUGGAAUACUCUGAUGAUUAAUAUAAAGGGAUAUCUGCCAGACACACGAAGAUGCAACUCCUCACAGAUAGAACAUUAGUUACAUCUCUGCGGAUGAGAUCAAGCCAAAUCCACAGACGAUUACACUUCAAAUUGAAGAGAGCACUUAAAAGAGCUCUCUAAUACCUGCCAGUUCUUUGGGAGAGGUGGGCUCUUUGGCAACAGAUGGCGGUCGAAUUUUCAUCUCAAUGGCGACCCUGGAGGAGAAGCGGGACUUUGUGGGUGACAGC
Oreochromis aureus is the source of this 313-nucleotide long non-coding RNA. RefSeq lists it as uncharacterized. NCBI's taxonomy places the organism in Eukaryota, Metazoa, Chordata, Actinopteri, Cichliformes, Cichlidae. The record is from RefSeq and is a predicted model, not a curated record. The transcript has 3 exons.